GCCUUAGUAACUGCGAGUGAAGCGGCAACAGCUCAAAUUUGAAAUCUGGCGCUUCUUGGACCCGAGUUAAUUUUUGUUAAAAUUUUUGGUCCGCGCUGGACCGUGUAUUCCUCUCCUGGAAUGGAGCGGCAGAAAGGGUGACAAUCCCGUCUUUGACACGGACUACCAGGGCUUUGCGAUACGCUCUCGAAGAUUCGAGUUGUUUGGSAAYGCAGCUSAAAAUGKSUGKUAAAUUCCAUCUAAAGCUGAAUAUUGACAACAAACCCAUAGCGAGAAAGUACCAUGAAGGAAAAAUGAAAAGAACUUUG
This 308-nucleotide ribosomal RNA is filed under the name uncultured fungus. RNAcentral describes it as "eukaryotic LSU rRNA". It matches the Rfam family "Eukaryotic large subunit ribosomal RNA", at positions 77 to 378 of the family's 3401-position model. Lineage: Eukaryota; Fungi. The record is from RNAcentral.